UACAGAGGUCUCAAGCGUUGUUCGGAUUUAUUGGGCGUAAAGGGUGCGUAGGCGGCAAGGUAAGUUGGGUGUGAAAUGCCGGGGCUCAACCCCGGCACCGCACUUGAUACUGCCAUGCUAGAGCACUAGAGAAGAGGCUGGAAUUUACGGUGUAGCAGUGAAAUGCGUAGAUCUCGUAAGGAAGACCAGUGGCGAAAGCGAGCCUCUAGAUAGUUUGCUGACGCUGAGGCACGAAAGCCAGGGGAGCAAACGGG
RNAcentral lists this ribosomal RNA (254 nucleotides) under uncultured bacterium. Its description in RNAcentral is "partial 16S ribosomal RNA". It matches the Rfam family "Bacterial small subunit ribosomal RNA", at positions 524 to 776 of the family's 1533-position model. The record is from RNAcentral.